ACGAACGCUGGCGGCAUGCCUCACACCUGCAAGUCGAACGAGACCUUCGGGUCUAGUGGCGCACGGGUGCGUAACGCGUGGGAACCUGCCCUUAGGUUCGGAAUAACUCCCCGAAAGGGGUGCUAAUACCGGAUAAUGUCUUCGGACCAAAGAUUUAUCGCCUUUGGAUGGGCCCGCGUUGGAUUAGCUCGUUGGUAGGGUAAAAGCCUACCAAGGCGACGAUCCAUAGCUGGGCUGAGAGGAUGAUCAGCCACACUGGGACUGAGACACGGCCCAGACUCCUACGGGAGGCAGCAGUGGGGAAUAUUGGACAAUGGGCGAAAGCCUGAUCCAGCAAUGCCGCGUGAGUGAUGAAGGCCUUAGGGUUGUAAAGCUCUUUUACCCGGGAUGAUAAUGACAGUACCGGGAGAAUAAGCUCCGGCUAACUCCGUG
This 432-nucleotide ribosomal RNA is filed under the name uncultured bacterium. RNAcentral's name for it is "partial 16S ribosomal RNA". It matches the Rfam family "Bacterial small subunit ribosomal RNA", at positions 29 to 507 of the family's 1533-position model. The record is from RNAcentral.